AUUGAACGCUGGCGGCAUGCUUUACACAUGCAAGUCGAACGGCAGCACGGGUGCUUGCACCUGGUGGCGAGUGGCGGACGGGUGAGUAAUACAUCGGAACGUGUCCAGAAGAGGGGGAUAACGCAUCGAAAGAUGUGCUAAUACCGCAUAUGCUCUGAGGAGGAAAGUAGGGGAUCGAAAGACCUUACGCUUUUGGAGCGGCCGAUGUCUGAUUAGCUAGUUGGUGGGGUAAGGGCCUACCAAGGCGACGAUCAGUAGUUGGUCUGAGAGGACGACCAGCCACACUGGGACUGAGACACGGCCCAGACUCCUACGGGAGGCAGCAGUGGGGAAUUUUGGACAAUGGGCGCAAGCCUGAUCCAGCAAUGCCGCGUGAGGGAAGAAGGUCCUCUGGAUUGUAAACCUCUUUUGGCAGGAAACAAACCUGCGCUAUACGCGCAGCUGAGGGUACCUGCAGAAUAAGCACCGGCUAACUCCGUG
This 480-nucleotide ribosomal RNA is filed under the name uncultured bacterium. Its description in RNAcentral is "bacterial SSU rRNA". It matches the Rfam family "Bacterial small subunit ribosomal RNA", at positions 30 to 507 of the family's 1533-position model. The record is from RNAcentral.